CUGGCUCAGGACGAACGCUGGCGGCAUGCCUAAUACAUGCAAGUCGAGCGGAGUUGUUUUGGAAGCUUGCUUCCAAAACAACUUAGCGGCGGACGGGUGAGUAACACGUAGGUAACCUGCCUGUAAGAUUGGGAUAACUACCGGAAACGGUAGCUAAUACCGAAUAAUUUGUUUCUUCUCAUGAAGAGACAAUGAAAGGCGGAGUAAUCUGCCACUUACAGAUGGGCCUGCGGCGCAUUAGCUAGUUGGUGAGGUAACGGCUCACCAAGGCGACGAUGCGUAGCCGACCUGAGAGGGUGAACGGCCACACUGGGACUGAGACACGGCCCAGACUCCUACGGGAGGCAGCAGUAGGGAAUCUUCCGCAAUGGACGAAAGUCUGACGGAGCAAUGCCGCGUGAGUGAUGAAGGUUUUCGGAUCGUAAAGCUCUGUUGCCAGGGAAGAACACUUGGGAGAGUAACUGCUCUCAAGGUGACGGUACCUGAGAAGAAAGCCCCGG
Molecule: ribosomal RNA, 500 nt
Filed under: Paenibacillaceae bacterium CL6.30
Lineage: Bacteria; Bacillati; Bacillota; Bacilli; Caryophanales; Paenibacillaceae
Description: bacterial SSU rRNA
Rfam family: Bacterial small subunit ribosomal RNA
Source: RNAcentral